GAUGAACGCUGGCGGCGUGCCUAAUACAUGCAAGUCGAGCGAACAGACGAGGAGCUUGCUCCUCUGACGUUAGCGGCGGACGGGUGAGUAACACGUGGAUAACCUACCUAUAAGACUGGGAUAACUUCGGGAAACCGGAGCUAAUACCGGAUAAUAUAUUGAACCGCAUGGUUCAAUAGUGAAAGACGGUUUUGCUGUCACUUAUAGAUGGAUCCGCGCCGCAUUAGCUAGUUGGUAAGGCAACGGCUUACCAAGGCAACGAUGCGUAGCCGACCUGAGAGGGUGAUCGGCCACACUGGAACUGAGACACGGUCCAGACUCCUACGGGAGGCAGCAGUAGGGAAUCUUCCGCAAUGGGCGAAAGCUUGACGGAGCAACGCCGCGUGAGUGAUGAAGGUCUUCGGAUCGUAAAACUCUGUUAUUAGGGAAGAACAAAUGUGUAAGUAACUAUGCACGUCUUGACGGUACCUAAUCAGAAAGCCACGGCUAACUACGU
This 496-nucleotide ribosomal RNA is filed under the name uncultured bacterium. RNAcentral describes it as "partial 16S ribosomal RNA". It matches the Rfam family "Bacterial small subunit ribosomal RNA", at positions 28 to 506 of the family's 1533-position model. The record is from RNAcentral.